RNAcentral lists this ribosomal RNA (465 nucleotides) under uncultured bacterium. RNAcentral's name for it is "partial 16S ribosomal RNA". It matches the Rfam family "Bacterial small subunit ribosomal RNA", at positions 338 to 795 of the family's 1533-position model. The record is from RNAcentral.
CCUACGGGAGGCAGCAGUAGGGAAUCUUCCACAAUGGGCGAAAGCCUGAUGGAGCAACGCCGCGUGGGUGAAGAAGGUCUUCGGAUCGUAAAACCCUGUUGUUAGAGAAGAAAGUGCGUGAGAGUAACUGUUCACGUUUCGACGGUAUCUAACCAGAAAGCCACGGCUAACUACGUGCCAGCAGCCGCGGUAAUACGUAGGUGGCAAGCGUUAUCCGGAUUUAUUGGGCGUAAAGGGAACGCAGGCGGUCUUUUAAGUCUGAUGUGAAAGCCUUCGGCUUAACCGGGGUAGUGCAUUGGAAACUGGGAGACUGGAGUGCAGAAGAGGAGAGUGGAACUCCAUGUGUAGCGGUGAAAUGCGUAGAUAUAUGGAAGAACACCAGUGGCGAAAGCGGCUCUCUGGUCUGUAACUGACGCUGAGGUUCGAAAGCGUGGGUAGCAAACAGGAUUAGAUACCCGAGUAGUC